UACAGAUGUAGAUACUGCAACAGUAGAGCCUAAAGGGUAUUUUCCACUUGUUGACUUUGUGGGACUGAACCAGCUUACUAGAAUCAUGAAUGGUUGUAAGACUUUCAUUAAUGGAGAGCUACUAUGAUGAAAUAUUUGGCAAUGUCUGCAAAUGGAAGGAUAAAACUGAGGUUUUUGUUUAAAAGAAUCAUGAAUAUAGGAGAUAUGAUGCUUCAAAGGCACUUAUAGAACACAAAUUUUAAUUAUCUGUCAAUAUCAUUAUCUAUUGUAGUAUUCAAUGCUUAUUUGUAGACCUUAUAGCAUUUGGAGUAGUUUCUUGAAAGGAUCA
This is a long non-coding RNA of Amphimedon queenslandica, 328 nucleotides long. RefSeq lists it as uncharacterized. The transcript has 2 exons. Lineage: Eukaryota; Metazoa; Porifera; Demospongiae; Haplosclerida; Niphatidae. The record is from RefSeq and is a predicted model, not a curated record.